Rattus rattus (black rat) is the source of this 104-nucleotide small nuclear RNA. Lineage: Eukaryota; Metazoa; Chordata; Mammalia; Rodentia; Muridae. The record is from RefSeq and is a predicted model, not a curated record.
GUUUGCUCCAACUACACAUAUACUACAAUUGGAACGAUACAGAGAAGACUAGCAUGGCCCCGUGCAAGGAUGACACACAAAUUCCUGAAGCGUUCCAUAUUUUU